This 2921-nucleotide ribosomal RNA is filed under the name Staphylococcus aureus M0396. RNAcentral's name for it is "bacterial LSU rRNA". It matches the Rfam family "Bacterial large subunit ribosomal RNA". The record is from RNAcentral. Lineage: Bacteria; Bacillati; Bacillota; Bacilli; Caryophanales; Staphylococcaceae.
UUAAGUUAUUAAGGGCGCACGGUGGAUGCCUUGGCACUAGAAGCCGAUGAAGGACGUUACUAACGACGAUAUGCUUUGGGGAGCUGUAAGUAAGCUUUGAUCCAGAGAUUUCCGAAUGGGGAAACCCAGCAUGAGUUAUGUCAUGUUAUCGAUAUGUGAAUACAUAGCAUAUCAGAAGGCACACCCGGAGAACUGAAACAUCUUAGUACCCGGAGGAAGAGAAAGAAAAUUCGAUUCCCUUAGUAGCGGCGAGCGAAACGGGAAGAGCCCAAACCAACAAGCUUGCUUGUUGGGGUUGUAGGACACUCUAUACGGAGUUACAAAGGACGACAUUAGACGAAUCAUCUGGAAAGAUGAAUCAAAGAAGGUAAUAAUCCUGUAGUCGAAAAUGUUGUCUCUCUUGAGUGGAUCCUGAGUACGACGGAGCACGUGAAAUUCCGUCGGAAUCUGGGAGGACCAUCUCCUAAGGCUAAAUACUCUCUAGUGACCGAUAGUGAACCAGUACCGUGAGGGAAAGGUGAAAAGCACCCCGGAAGGGGAGUGAAAUAGAACCUGAAACCGUGUGCUUACAAGUAGUCAGAGCCCGUUAAUGGGUGAUGGCGUGCCUUUUGUAGAAUGAACCGGCGAGUUACGAUUUGAUGCAAGGUUAAGCAGUAAAUGUGGAGCCGUAGCGAAAGCGAGUCUGAAUAGGGCGUUUAGUAUUUGGUCGUAGACCCGAAACCAGGUGAUCUACCCUUGGUCAGGUUGAAGUUCAGGUAACACUGAAUGGAGGACCGAACCGACUUACGUUGAAAAGUGAGCGGAUGAACUGAGGGUAGCGGAGAAAUUCCAAUCGAACCUGGAGAUAGCUGGUUCUCUCCGAAAUAGCUUUAGGGCUAGCCUCAAGUGAUGAUUAUUGGAGGUAGAGCACUGUUUGGACGAGGGGCCCCUCUCGGGUUACCGAAUUCAGACAAACUCCGAAUGCCAAUUAAUUUAACUUGGGAGUCAGAACAUGGGUGAUAAGGUCCGUGUUCGAAAGGGAAACAGCCCAGACCACCAGCUAAGGUCCCAAAAUAUAUGUUAAGUGGAAAAGGAUGUGGCGUUGCCCAGACAACUAGGAUGUUGGCUUAGAAGCAGCCAUCAUUUAAAGAGUGCGUAAUAGCUCACUAGUCGAGUGACACUGCGCCGAAAAUGUACCGGGGCUAAACAUAUUACCGAAGCUGUGGAUUGUCCUUUGGACAAUGGUAGGAGAGCGUUCUAAGGGCGUUGAAGCAUGAUCGUAAGGACAUGUGGAGCGCUUAGAAGUGAGAAUGCCGGUGUGAGUAGCGAAAGACGGGUGAGAAUCCCGUCCACCGAUUGACUAAGGUUUCCAGAGGAAGGCUCGUCCGCUCUGGGUUAGUCGGGUCCUAAGCUGAGGCCGACAGGCGUAGGCGAUGGAUAACAGGUUGAUAUUCCUGUACCACCUAUAAUCGUUUUAAUCGAUGGGGGGACGCAGUAGGAUAGGCGAAGCGUGCGAUUGGAUUGCACGUCUAAGCAGUAAGGCUGAGUAUUAGGCAAAUCCGGUACUCGUUAAGGCUGAGCUGUGAUGGGGAGAAGACAUUGUGUCUUCGAGUCGUUGAUUUCACACUGCCGAGAAAAGCCUCUAGAUAGAAAAUAGGUGCCCGUACCGCAAACCGACACAGGUAGUCAAGAUGAGAAUUCUAAGGUGAGCGAGCGAACUCUCGUUAAGGAACUCGGCAAAAUGACCCCGUAACUUCGGGAGAAGGGGUGCUCUUUAGGGUUAACGCCCAGAAGAGCCGCAGUGAAUAGGCCCAAGCGACUGUUUAUCAAAAACACAGGUCUCUGCUAAACCGUAAGGUGAUGUAUAGGGGCUGACGCCUGCCCGGUGCUGGAAGGUUAAGAGGAGUGGUUAGCUUCUGCGAAGCUACGAAUCGAAGCCCCAGUAAACGGCGGCCGUAACUAUAACGGUCCUAAGGUAGCGAAAUUCCUUGUCGGGUAAGUUCCGACCCGCACGAAAGGCGUAACGAUUUGGGCACUGUCUCAACGAGAGACUCGGUGAAAUCAUAGUACCUGUGAAGAUGCAGGUUACCCGCGACAGGACGGAAAGACCCCGUGGAGCUUUACUGUAGCCUGAUAUUGAAAUUCGGCACAGCUUGUACAGGAUAGGUAGGAGCCUUUGAAACGUGAGCGCUAGCUUACGUGGAGGCGCUGGUGGGAUACUACCCUAGCUGUGUUGGCUUUCUAACCCGCACCACUUAUCGUGGUGGGAGACAGUGUCAGGCGGGCAGUUUGACUGGGGCGGUCGCCUCCUAAAAGGUAACGGAGGCGCUCAAAGGUUCCCUCAGAAUGGUUGGAAAUCAUUCAUAGAGUGUAAAGGCAUAAGGGAGCUUGACUGCGAGACCUACAAGUCGAGCAGGGUCGAAAGACGGACUUAGUGAUCCGGUGGUUCCGCAUGGAAGGGCCAUCGCUCAACGGAUAAAAGCUACCCCGGGGAUAACAGGCUUAUCUCCCCCAAGAGUUCACAUCGACGGGGAGGUUUGGCACCUCGAUGUCGGCUCAUCGCAUCCUGGGGCUGUAGUCGGUCCCAAGGGUUGGGCUGUUCGCCCAUUAAAGCGGUACGCGAGCUGGGUUCAGAACGUCGUGAGACAGUUCGGUCCCUAUCCGUCGUGGGCGUAGGAAAUUUGAGAGGAGCUGUCCUUAGUACGAGAGGACCGGGAUGGACAUACCUCUGGUGUACCAGUUGUCGUGCCAACGGCAUAGCUGGGUAGCUAUGUGUGGACGGGAUAAGUGCUGAAAGCAUCUAAGCAUGAAGCCCCCCUCAAGAUGAGAUUUCCCAACUUCGGUUAUAAGAUCCCUCAAAGAUGAUGAGGUUAAUAAGUUCGAGGUGGAAGCAUGGUGACAUGUGGAGCUGACGAAUACUAAUCGAUCGAAGACUUAAUCAA